GGGAAAGCGGGAGGAACUGUUGCUGGGGAGCCACGGAGACUGGAGAGACUCUGAGAACUGUGUGGAAUCCUUGGGGCAGUGUGGUUCCACUUCCUCCGAACUGGUCUCUGGAGCUGGGAGGAGACUUGGGCUGUUUCCAGACAGGAGACAGGCGCUUUUUCUCUCAGAUGCUGCUGGGCCCUCUCUCCUACGAGCGGUUCCCCAGCUCACAGGCCUCAGAAGGGAAGCUGCACUCACAAGUAAAACCUGCUGUGAGGAAUAAAGAAGCUCGUGACAACUCAACCCUUCCCAGGGAUGUUUGUGUUCAUCUAGGGACCAGAGUUUUAAUUUUGGAAUCUGAAGAGGAGAGUCCUUUCCAGGAUUAAACUGUCCUGACGUCUGUUUUCUUUCAUCGGACUCAGAGGGUCACUUCUGCCCGCACCUGGGAGGAAUAAUUGAUCAGAGUAGAGGGCAGAUGAUAAGAAAGAAUGUUAUGGGACGAUGACCUUGAGGAACCUGUCCUGGAAUCACCUGAUGCCAGCCCUAAUGAUCUCAAUGCCCCCAGGAGGAGAAAAAUGCAAGACUGCAUCAACCCUGAUCCUUACCUUCAGCCCCAUUUUCCAUCCUAAAACUGUAAGACCUCUUCCAGCUUCCCAGGAAGGGAGGUACAGUCUUGAAAGCAUUAACUUGCUGUGGUCCCCCUUUCGCCUGACAAAGUAAUAAAGCUACUCCUUUCUA
Long non-coding RNA from Capra hircus (goat), 717 nucleotides. RefSeq lists it as uncharacterized. The record is from RefSeq and is a predicted model, not a curated record. The transcript has 3 exons. NCBI's taxonomy places the organism in Eukaryota, Metazoa, Chordata, Mammalia, Artiodactyla, Bovidae.